CGAAAUAUUUCAUCACCUCGACCUAGUCUUCCCUCGAUUUUAAUUGAUAGAUUCUCAUUGCCUCGCAAUCACCACGCAUCAUAGUUUUCUUGAUCCCCAAAUUACAAACAUAACCUAACGUACCACGUCGUCACCGAUAGGCUAGAAAAAUAAAAUUGCAGAUUAUCAGAAGAAUGUCAUAGAAUAGCCAUCUGUAUGCCUGAACAGAAAAAUAUACAUGUUGACCAAAUUGGAAAUAGAGGAAAAACAAAUGCAAAACUUACUUUGUUGCUGGUGUCUGGUUUGCUGUUUGGCGUCUUUGACUGUCCAGCGGAAUCACUUGCAGGAACAAAGGCUAUACCUCCUUUAAACAUUCCCGGCUCAAAUCCAACAGGACCAUGCCUUGGUCCUGAAAUUCCUGGAAGGGAUGCAGAGUUGUCGGAAAAGUAUUCAGUCUUUACAGGAUGAGUAGUGGAGCUCUGUGACAAAGAGGAAUUUGUAGAACCACCAGGUGGGGCAGCAAGGAGAUUUGGUUCAUCCUGGAACAAAUACACACAACAACAACUUCUACAGUCACAAGUUCAAGGUUGUCAUCUGCAGAUAAAACCUCUGGCUCCCGAUGCAACAUCAGAGGUGAUGUUGCUUUACGCUUCAUACUGGGCUCUUCAUCAAUAAAUACAGGCCCAAGGUCAACCUCUUCUUGUACCUCAACUUCAGAUUUAACCUGUAAUAUAAUUUUGUGUGAUAGGCAGAGUAAAAUAGUACAGUAACAAAAUUAGA
Long non-coding RNA from Frankliniella occidentalis (western flower thrips), 759 nucleotides. RefSeq lists it as uncharacterized. The transcript is spliced from 3 exons. NCBI's taxonomy places the organism in Eukaryota, Metazoa, Arthropoda, Insecta, Thysanoptera, Thripidae. The record is from RefSeq and is a predicted model, not a curated record.